RNAcentral lists this ribosomal RNA (759 nucleotides) under Neisseria subflava. RNAcentral's name for it is "bacterial SSU rRNA". It matches the Rfam family "Bacterial small subunit ribosomal RNA", at positions 28 to 776 of the family's 1533-position model. Lineage: Bacteria; Pseudomonadati; Pseudomonadota; Betaproteobacteria; Neisseriales; Neisseriaceae. The record is from RNAcentral.
AUUGAACGCUGGCGGCAUGCUUUACACAUGCAAGUCGGACGGCAGCACAGAGAAGCUUGUUUCUUGGGUGGCGAGUGGCGAACGGGUGAGUAAUAUAUCGGAACGUACCGAGUAAUGGGGGAUAACUAAUCGAAAGAUUAGCUAAUACCGCAUAUUCUCUGAGGAGGAAAGCAGGGGACCUUCGGGCCUUGCGUUAUUCGAGCGGCCGAUAUCUGAUUAGCUAGUUGGUGGGGUAAAGGCCUACCAAGGCGACGAUCAGUAGCGGGUCUGAGAGGAUGAUCCGCCACACUGGGACUGAGACACGGCCCAGACUCCUACGGGAGGCAGCAGUGGGGAAUUUUGGACAAUGGGCGCAAGCCUGAUCCAGCCAUGCCGCGUGUCUGAAGAAGGCCUUCGGGUUGUAAAGGACUUUUGUCAGGGAAGAAAAGGCUGUUGCUAAUAUCGACAGCUGAUGACGGUACCUGAAGAAUAAGCACCGGCUAACUACGUGCCAGCAGCCGCGGUAAUACGUAGGGUGCGAGCGUUAAUCGGAAUUACUGGGCGUAAAGCGAGCGCAGACGGUUACUUAAGCAGGAUGUGAAAUCCCCGGGCUUAACCUGGGAACUGCGUUCUGAACUGGGUGACUAGAGUGUGUCAGAGGGAGGUAGAAUUCCACGUGUAGCAGUGAAAUGCGUAGAGAUGUGGAGGAAUACCGAUGGCGAAGGCAGCCUCCUGGGAUAACACUGACGUUCAUGCUCGAAAGCGUGGGUAGCAAACAGG